Hippocampus comes (tiger tail seahorse) is the source of this 1637-nucleotide long non-coding RNA. RefSeq lists it as uncharacterized. The transcript is spliced from 6 exons. The record is from RefSeq and is a predicted model, not a curated record. NCBI's taxonomy places the organism in Eukaryota, Metazoa, Chordata, Actinopteri, Syngnathiformes, Syngnathidae.
GUGGCAUAAACGUUCCUAAAUGAUCAAAUUGGACUCAAACCUUUUAAUUGUGCAUACGAAAACUAAACAGAGCUUUGGUUUGCUGCGAUUUGAGUCAAAAGUACAAACCAAAAAAAAAACCCUCCUGUAACUUUCUGGGUGCUUUUCAUUUGUGUCCCGUCUUGGAGAAGUUGGGAGAGAGGGAGGGGAGGAGGAGAAGGGAGGUGGAGUAAGGUCGGAGUUCCACGCAAGAGGACUAGCAAAGGAGCUGCUUCAUACUGUGCUGCUCUUGGCUCUUGCUGCCCUUGGCUGUCCGUACAUCUCUGUUUGUAUUCGCUGGGAGUCAGCGUGCACCUGUGUGUGUGUGUGUGUGUGUGUGUGUGUGUGUGUGUGUGUGUGUGUGUGUGUGUGUGUGUGUGUGUGUGUGUGUGUCUUGUAAUCCAACUGGUUGUUUACCCAUGCUGUCAUGUUAGCAGCUCACGCAGCAAUCUGCAGGGGAGAGGCAGAACUGGACUUGACAGACUGAGCAAAACAAAACCUCUGAACAAAGGAAUGUAUUUGGGAAGUUUGUGCCUCCAUCUUGAGUUGAAAGACAUCAGAGGGGACUAACUUUCCUCGCAGCAGUGCCGGUCUGACAACAAGAUGACUUGUAUAGUGAAUGAUGGCUGUCUGAACCUCUGUAGUGGAUCAACAGCAGCCGUUCAUACUGGCUUGUUGAUUUUCGCUGAAGCGCUGGCCUGCGGUGGAUCUCAAAGCCCGACGGAGUCCAUUUGACACCAGAGGAUGUUUGAGCGUCAGUGUCCAGCCUGUGCCCUGUUGAGAAGCCUUUCGUUCCAUCUUGUCGGGCCACGUCGUCUUCCUCCCUCUGCUAGGAUUGACCGAUGGAGAGACACGCAGAGAUGACUGCGGCAGCCAUCGAGACAGCAGUCAGCCGGCCUCUUUUCAGUUCACUGUGAGGAUGGUGGCCAUAAGGAACUUUGAUCCAGAAUGACCUCAGCAACAGCACUGAGAGCGCGGCCAGUCGCUGAAUCCUCAGAGGUGGUCAGCGGCUGAUCUGCUUUGAAUGCCAACGCAAAGGUAACAUGACUAAAGUGUCUGAAGACGAGGAGGGAUUCCACACUCAGGGGCCCGGUUAAGCUUUGCUCUCAGUACAAAUCCUCUCAAUGUGUUUGAUGUCCUACGGCAACUCCCAAAAUGAUUGCAUAGUUGCGCUUUUGUAAAAAUGAUCCCAAACGUUAUUUCAAGCUUCCUGCUUCUAACUUCAAACUUCACGCACGUUCUUUUGGUAAGAUGGGAUAUGCACCAAUGUCCAUGUUUGUGUUAUCUUGGAUAUUACAUUGCCAGCGAGUUACUUAUUGCUUAUUGCAUACAAAGUAGACUCGAACUGAAUUGUUUUCAUCAUGGGCAGCACGUUUGCCUCACAGUUGGGAUUCAAAUGUCAGCUCUGACCUUUCCUGUGUUGAAGUUUGCAUGUUCUCCUCAUGCUUGGUUUACAUAUUUUAGGACGUAUAUUCCGGAUUAGCCAUUAGACCGACUGGAAGUGGAAAUGAAUGAAAGAAAAUCCACGCUUGGUGCCACCUCCUUCGCUCAAACAUCUCCUUGAAGAUUCCCAAUAAGAUUUUGGAGCAUGUCUCUGGCAAUAUUUUGUCCACAGUGUU